This is a long non-coding RNA of Myotis myotis, 529 nucleotides long. RefSeq lists it as uncharacterized. The transcript is spliced from 2 exons. The record is from RefSeq and is a predicted model, not a curated record. NCBI's taxonomy places the organism in Eukaryota, Metazoa, Chordata, Mammalia, Chiroptera, Vespertilionidae.
UGAUUUGUCUGAUACUCCAUAGUUGGGGAGUGGCAAAGCCAGUAUCUGAACCCAGGUAAAGGCUCCAGCCCCAGGCUCUAUCUACUAAGCGCACUGUCCCUCGAAAGUGAGGGACAUGAGGCUCGACGUCACUCCUCAUUCUGGCCCCAAUCACGUCUUUUGUCGACUGAUAUUGAAGACAUUUCCCAGAGUUGUCAUGAGAACGAAAUGCCAAGGAUCUGGUUCCCAUGCACAGGUGCUGGGUGAUGGAAGGUGCAGAUGCCCAGACAGGCCUAAGAGGGCCAGCAAUCCCGCAGCUGCGCCUCUCCGCCGCUAGGGGGCAGACGAGGGCCUGGAAACCGGCUCAGCCACUGAUGGAUGAGGCAGCCCUGUUGACACGUGAGGUCCUGCCUUUCUCCUGCGGUGCACUACUCUAUCGGCUGACGGCACCACAAUGUAUGCAUCCAUUCUCCACACACGGGCUUAUCAUUUGGUUUUUCCCAGUUUUUGCUACCAGAAAUCUCCCUGCAAUAAAAGUUUUUCCUAUGUG